Molecule: unclassified non-coding RNA, 206 nt
Filed under: Hevea brasiliensis (rubber tree)
Lineage: Eukaryota; Viridiplantae; Streptophyta; Magnoliopsida; Malpighiales; Euphorbiaceae
Source: RNAcentral
AUGUAGAGGAACAAGAAAGUAGCGAUGAACUCGGCAAUCCCAGCCCUGUAGAAGGACCAUGAGCUGAGCUCACCUGGCUCAAACAAGGGAGCAGGUGGUGGCUCCUUGUAGUCCUUAUCAGUCUGGGCUGAUGUCCCUAUGGGUUGUCUCUCUGUGAAUUUGUUUGCUCCUAGUCUAACAUCCUCUUCCUUGCCCUCCAUUGCUCU